AACGAACGCUGGCGGCAGGCCUAACACAUGCAAGUCGAGCGCGCCCUUCGGGGUGAGCGGCGGACGGGUGAGUAACGCGUGGGAACGUGCCCUUUUCUACGGAAUAGCCUCGGGAAACUGAGAGUAAUACCGUAUACGCCCUUUGGGGGAAAGAUUUAUCGGAAAAGGAUCGGCCCGCGUUGGAUUAGGUAGUUGGUGGGGUAAUGGCCUACCAAGCCGACGAUCCAUAGCUGGUUUGAGAGGAUGAUCAGCCACACUGGGACUGAGACACGGCCCAGACUCCUGCGGGAGGCAGCAAUGGGGAAUCUUAGACAAUGGGGGCAAGCCUGAUCUAGCCAUGCCGCGUGAGUGAUGAAGGCCUUAGGGUUGUAAAGCUCUUUCAGCCGGGAAGAUAAUGACGGUACCAGCAGAAGAAGCCCCGGCUAACUCCGUG
RNAcentral lists this ribosomal RNA (433 nucleotides) under uncultured bacterium. Its description in RNAcentral is "partial 16S ribosomal RNA". It matches the Rfam family "Bacterial small subunit ribosomal RNA", at positions 29 to 507 of the family's 1533-position model. The record is from RNAcentral.